Long non-coding RNA from Manis pentadactyla (Chinese pangolin), 1606 nucleotides. RefSeq lists it as uncharacterized. NCBI's taxonomy places the organism in Eukaryota, Metazoa, Chordata, Mammalia, Pholidota, Manidae. The transcript is spliced from 4 exons. The record is from RefSeq and is a predicted model, not a curated record.
GGCAGCUUGACUCUGACGAGGCCCUGCUGCCCAAUCUUUCGCUUGGCAGUGGGUGUGCAGGGGGCUGAAAUCUGACCCACCACAGGCCCAAGCACCUCAUGGUUAAGCCACAGCCACUAAGUGAGAAAACUGAUUUGAAUUCUGCCUUCACUGAUGGUACCUGCAUGAUCGCCUGUUCUUCUUCAUCUGCAGAUUCAGUGCACGGUGAUAAUGGGAAGGAUUUCAAAGUUCAUUUGAUGGAAGAAUCCUGCUUGCAUUGAAGAUGACUGCUGUCUGUAAGACGCCGUGACACUUCCUGGGAAUGGCCACUAACCAUCCUCCCAGCAGCAGUAACAGAGUUUGCUCCUGAAAUGUAAAGAAACAGCGUAGCGUGGGCCCCUCGCCAGAGCAAUGGAAGAAUCGUGAGGAUCUACGAUUUCAUUUUUCGGCAACGCCUCUUGCAUUACAACACGGCUACUCCAGCGCCAGCCCCGUCGGCCCUGCUUCUCCCGUACUCAGAGGUGCGCGGCAAGCGUCAGGCAGCAGGGGGAGCAAGUGUGCAAGCGGAGGGAAGAUGCUUCCGCGCACGUCUGAGCUCCUGUGUCCUUUAACAGGCCUGGGUAGGAAAAGUAUGUUUUUGUUUUGUUUUGUUUUGUUUGCUAACUGAAUGCCUAGCCCUCCAGGCUUCUCCGCAAAGAUUUGAGCUUACUGACUUGUAGAAUGGGAAAAACCACACUCAAUGGUUGUAGAAGAAAGUCAGCUCUCUGCCCCCUGGGUCAAAGGAAAUCAAAGCCUCCACAUUGCUACUGAGGCAGGACUGGGCUCUGGGUCUCUGCAGGUCCGAGAAGGCCCUUGAAGCUUUGGCUCUGUGGUGGGGGGAGGCCCAGACAGUGGGCUACCCUGGGUCUAGGGUUGGUACCACCUCUGCCAACAGCCUGCCUGAGAGGACAGGAACUUGUAAAGUCAGUAGCAAGAGAAUUAGACUGUACACUGCAGGAGGGAGAGAUGUUUGUGUUUUUCCACUGUAUCUCUGCCUUCCGGAACAGUGCAGGUGGCUGGCUUGGCGGCCACGUGCCUUCACUAGGUCCUUUGACAGAGUCCGUUAACUUAUGCUGUGUUUUGACCAAGGCCUUGAUGUCAGAUAGAAAAGAAACAAAUACUUUGGCAUCGUAUAACCUGAAGCCCAGAGUAAGGCUGGGGAGAAGCUUCGGGGGGCUUACACUGCUUCUGGAAUAACUUUGAGGGCUGACAAGCUGCUUUUACUCUGGGGUGUAUAUUCGCUCACUUCCUUUCUGGACCAGAACUGUAAUUUCUUAAUCUGGGAAAGAAAAGUUGCAUCAGGGGAGAUGCCCUGAGGGCUUGCUGGCAACAAUUUCCUUUCUGGCAAAAGACAGGAGAAGCAAAAGUUGAUUUUAGCCUCCACUUUGCAUUUACAUAUAGAAGAUAAUUGAUUUUCUCUUGUAUGGUAGUUAUUUACUGAAAACAUUGUUUUGGUCUUGGUUCCAAAUACACAUGAAAUUUGUACUCUAAUGCACCUGAUUUUGUAAUUUUUGGGGGGUGGGGGUAGUUUAAAAUGCUGACUUCCUAGAGUAUUUUUCUAGAACAGUAGAAAAGACAUUAACCAAAG